GACGAACGCUGGCGGCGUGCCUAAUACAUGCAAGUAGAACGCACAGUUUAUACCGUAGCUUGCUACACCAUAAACUGUGAGUUGCGAACGGGUGAGUCACGCGUAGGUAACCUGCCUGGUAGCGGGUGAUAACUAUUGGUAACGAUAGCUAAUACCGCAUAAUAUUAAUUAUUGCAUGAUAAUUGAUUGAAAGAUGCAAUUGCAUCACUACCAGAUGGACCUGGGUUGUAUUAGCUAGUAGGUGAGGUAACGGCGCACCUAGGCGACGAUACAUAGCCGACCUGAGAGGGUGAUCGGCCACACUGGGACUGAGACACGGCCCAGACUCCUACGGGAGGCAGCAGUAGGGAAUCUUCGGCAAUGGACGAAAGUCUGACCGAGCAACGCCGCGGGAGUGAAGAAGGUUUUCGGAUCGUAAAGCUCUGUUGUAAGAGAAGAACGGGUGUGAGAGUGGAAAGUUCACACUGUGACGGUAUCUUACCAGAAAGGGACGGCUAACUACGUG
Molecule: ribosomal RNA, 505 nt
Filed under: uncultured bacterium
Lineage: Bacteria
Description: partial 16S ribosomal RNA
Rfam family: Bacterial small subunit ribosomal RNA
Source: RNAcentral